This 427-nucleotide ribosomal RNA is filed under the name Siphonaria sp. UF 351976. Its description in RNAcentral is "partial 16S ribosomal RNA". It matches the Rfam family "Bacterial large subunit ribosomal RNA", at positions 1828 to 2597 of the family's 2925-position model. Lineage: Eukaryota; Metazoa; Mollusca; Gastropoda; Siphonariida; Siphonariidae. The record is from RNAcentral.
AGCCUAUAGAUAUUAUUAUAGGUACUGCCUGCUCAAUGCUGUAGUAAAUAGCCGCAGAACUUUAACUGUGCUAAGGUAGCAUAAUAAUUUGUCUUUUAAAUGAAGACUGUAUGAAUGGCUAUUUGGGAGAUUACUGUCUUAACUAAGUUCUUUAUAACUUCCUAAUAAGGUGAAAAUUCCUUGUUAAUAAAAAUAGACGAGAAGACCCUAAGAGUUUAAACUAAAAAUAUCUACUAUUAUUUAAAUUUUUGUUGGGGCAACAAGGGAGACACCCUCCAAAUAAAUUCACAAGAAAUUAUUUUGUAUGAAAUAAACUACCUUAGGGAUAACAGCACAAUCUGUUUUCAGGUUUGUGACCUCGAUGUUGGACUAGGAAAGGCUUUCUCCAGAAGAGAAAGCUUUAAGCUCUGUUCGAGCUAGAUUUCCU